RNAcentral lists this ribosomal RNA (497 nucleotides) under uncultured bacterium. RNAcentral describes it as "partial 16S ribosomal RNA". It matches the Rfam family "Bacterial small subunit ribosomal RNA", at positions 28 to 507 of the family's 1533-position model. The record is from RNAcentral.
GAUGAACGCUGGCGGCGUGCCUAAUACAUGCAAGUCGAGCGAACGGACGAGAAGCUUGCUCUUCUGAUGUUAGCGGCGGACGGGUGAGUAACACGUGGAUAACCUACCUAUAAGACUGGGAUAACUUCGGGAAACCGGAGCUAAUACCGGAUAAUAUUUUGAACCGCAUGGUUCAAUAGUGAAAGACGGUCUUGCUGUCACUUAUAGAUGGAUCCGCGCUGCAUUAGCUAGUUGGUAAGGUAACGGCUUACCAAGGCAACGAUGCAUAGCCGACCUGAGAGGGUGAUCGGCCACACUGGAACUGAGACACGGUCCAGACUCCUACGGGAGGCAGCAGUAGGGAAUCUUCCGCAAUGGGCGAAAGCCUGACGGAGCAACGCCGCGUGAGUGAUGAAGGUCUUCGGAUCGUAAAACUCUGUUAUUAGGGAAGAACAUAUGUGUAAGUAACUAUGCACAUCUUGACGGUACCUAAUCAGAAAGCCACGGCUAACUACGUG